CCGGAAAAAGAAGAGUGGCGAACGGGUGAGUAACACGUGGGUAACCUGCCCAUCAGAAGGGGAUAACACUUGGAAACAGGUGCUAAUACCGUAUAACAAUCGAAACCGCAUGGUUUUGAUUUGAAAGGCGCUUUCGGGUGUCGCUGAUGGAUGGACCCGCGGUGCAUUAGCUAGUUGGUGAGGUAACGGCUCACCAAGGCCACGAUGCAUAGCCGACCUGAGAGGGUGAUCGGCCACAUUGGGACUGAGACACGGCCCAAACUCCUACGGGAGGCAGCAGUAGGGAAUCUUCGGCAAUGGACGAAAGUCUGACCGAGCAACGCCGCGUGAGUGAAGAAGGUUUUCGGAUCGUAAAACUCUGUUGUUAGAGAAGAACAAGGAUGAGAGUAACUGUUCAUCCCUUGACGGUAUCUAACCAGAAAGCCACGGCUAACUACGUGCCAGCAGCCGCGGUAAUACGUAGGUGGCAAGCGUUGUCCGGAUUUAUUGGGCGUAAAGCGAGCGCAGGCGGUUUCUUAAGUCUGAUGUGAAAGCCCCCGGCUCAACCGGGGAGGGUCAUUGGAAACUGGGAGACUUGAGUGCAGAAGAGGAGAGUGGAAUUCCAUGUGUAGCGGUGAAAUGCGUAGAUAUAUGGAGGAACACCAGUGGCGAAGGCGGCUCUCUGGUCUGUAACUGACGCUGAGGCUCGAAAGCGUGGGGAGCAAACAGGAUUAGAUACCCUGGUAGUCCACGCCGUAAACGAUGAGUGCUAAGUGUUGGAGGGUUUCCGCCCUUCAGUGCUGCAGCUAACGCAUUAAGCACUCCGCCUGGGGAGUACGACCCGCAAGGUUGAAACUCAAAAGGAAUUUGACGGGGGGCCCGCACAAGCGG
This 870-nucleotide ribosomal RNA is filed under the name Enterococcus sp. MRSA120B15_13_1A. Its description in RNAcentral is "bacterial SSU rRNA". It matches the Rfam family "Bacterial small subunit ribosomal RNA", at positions 81 to 932 of the family's 1533-position model. Lineage: Bacteria; Bacillati; Bacillota; Bacilli; Lactobacillales; Enterococcaceae. The record is from RNAcentral.